CAGUGUUUUCAAAGGCAUGUCUAGGCACGCGUUGAGGCGCGCUUCGGAGCGAGGCAGCGGUGAUUCGCCUCAGGCGCAGCUCAGUUUAGCGAAUGUCAUGAAAGGCGUACGCCUUGAAGUCGAGGCGGCCGCUAAACGCAGAUGCGCUGUGAAAGGCGCAAGCCUCGCGAGGAAGACAGAGUUCCUUUAUUUUAAAAAUCUGAUUCCGGACGACUUCGUUUGCACUUGCUGUGUUGUUUUGUUUCCCUUUAGUUAAGCUGUGCGUUUCAGUUUUAAGUUUGAACAUUAAACACGCACCGUUUUGUUCAAAAGAAACCAGUUUACCCAUUUAUUCCUUCCCUCUCCCAAAAGCCAAAGUUCCCAAA
This 365-nucleotide long non-coding RNA is filed under the name Prunus dulcis (almond). RNAcentral describes it as "sRNA ncRNA". The record is from RNAcentral. Lineage: Eukaryota; Viridiplantae; Streptophyta; Magnoliopsida; Rosales; Rosaceae.